AUUCCAGCUCCAAUAGCGUAUAUUAAAAUUGUUGCAGUUAAAAAGCUCGUAGUUGAAUUUCUGCUGCAUUGCUUGUGUCUCUCUGGGGUCUGUGCAUGUGGCUUUUUUCGGACGGAGUUUCUUUGUCUGAAUGUUUACUUUGAGAAAAUUAGAGUGCUCAAAGCAGGCUUUCGCCUUGAAUAGUUUAGCAUGGAAUAAUAAAGUAGGACUUUGGUUCUAUUUUGUUGGUUUUAGGUACCAAAGUAAUGGUUAAUAGGAACAGUUGGGGGCAUUCGUAUUUAACUGUCAGAGGUGAAAUUCUUAGAUUUGUUAAAGACGAACUACUGCGAAAGCAUUUGCCAAGGAUGUUUUCAUUAAUCAAGAACGAAAGUUAGGGGAUCGAAGACGAUCAGAUACCGUAGUAGUCCUAACCAUAAACUAUGCCGACUAGAGAUUGGAGGUCGUCAGUUUUU
This 452-nucleotide ribosomal RNA is filed under the name Theileria annulata. RNAcentral's name for it is "SSU rRNA". It matches the Rfam family "Eukaryotic small subunit ribosomal RNA", at positions 582 to 1071 of the family's 1831-position model. The record is from RNAcentral. Lineage: Eukaryota; Apicomplexa; Aconoidasida; Piroplasmida; Theileriidae.